RNAcentral lists this ribosomal RNA (448 nucleotides) under uncultured bacterium. RNAcentral's name for it is "bacterial SSU rRNA". It matches the Rfam family "Bacterial small subunit ribosomal RNA", at positions 355 to 825 of the family's 1533-position model. The record is from RNAcentral.
UGGGGAAUCUUGGACAAUGGGCGCAAGCCUGAUCCAGCCAUGCCGCGUGGAUGAUGAAGGCCUUAGGGUUGUAAAAUCCUUUCGUGGGGGACGAUAAUGACGGUACCCCAAGAAGAAGCUCCGGCUAACUUCGUGCCAGCAGCCGCGGUAAUACGAAGGGGGCUAGCGUUGUUCGGAUUUACUGGGCGUAAAGCGCGUGUAGGCGGGUCGUUAAGUUGGGGGUGAAAUCCCGAGGCUCAACCUCGGAACUGCCUUCAAAACUGGCGACCUGGACCCCAAGUAGAGGCAAGUGGAAUUGCGAGUGUAGAGGUGAAAUUCGUAGAUAUUCGCAGGAACACCAGUGGCGAAGGCGACUUGCUGGACUUGUGGUGACGCUGAGACGCGAAAGCGUGGGGAGCAAACAGGAUUAGAUACCCCCGUAGUCCCUGAGCGGGCUGGCAAGGCGCAU